This 253-nucleotide ribosomal RNA is filed under the name [Ruminococcus] torques ATCC 27756. Its description in RNAcentral is "partial 16S ribosomal RNA". It matches the Rfam family "Bacterial small subunit ribosomal RNA", at positions 524 to 776 of the family's 1533-position model. The record is from RNAcentral. Lineage: Bacteria; Bacillati; Bacillota; Clostridia; Lachnospirales; Lachnospiraceae.
UACGUAUGGUGCAAGCGUUAUCCGGAUUUACUGGGUGUAAAGGGAGCGUAGACGGAUGGGCAAGUCUGAUGUGAAAACCCGGGGCUCAACCCCGGGACUGCAUUGGAAACUGUUCAUCUGGAGUGCUGGAGAGGUAAGUGGAAUUCCUAGUGUAGCGGUGAAAUGCGUAGAUAUUAGGAGGAACACCAGUGGCGAAGGCGGCUUACUGGACAGUAACUGACGUUGAGGCUCGAAAGCGUGGGGAGCAAACAGG